Molecule: ribosomal RNA, 253 nt
Filed under: uncultured bacterium
Lineage: Bacteria
Description: partial 16S ribosomal RNA
Rfam family: Bacterial small subunit ribosomal RNA
Source: RNAcentral
UACGUAGGGUGCAAGCGUUGUCCGGAAUUAUUGGGCGUAAAGAGCUCGUAGGCGGUUCGUCGCGUCGGCUGUGAAAACCCGGAGCUCAACUCCGGGCCUGCAGUCGAUACGGGCGGACUUGAGUGUUGCAGGGGAGACUGGAAUUCCUGGUGUAGCGGUGAAAUGCGCAGAUAUCAGGAGGAACACCGAUAGCGAAGGCAGCUCGCUGGGACGGUACUGACGCUGAGGCGCGAAAGCGUGGGGAGCAAACAGG